This 954-nucleotide long non-coding RNA is filed under the name Sus scrofa (pig). RNAcentral describes it as "lncRNA (ENSSSCG00065030403.1)". The record is from RNAcentral. Lineage: Eukaryota; Metazoa; Chordata; Mammalia; Artiodactyla; Suidae.
UUUGGCGAGGCGGUCGGGCGAGGGAGCGCGCACGGAGCGCGGGACGGAGCGCUGGGCAGACGGACCGACGGACGGACGCCCCCGCACACGCAGACGCACAGAGCUCUGCUAGGUUCCCGUCACACACACACACACACACACACGCAGACACACACAGGGACACGCACACUCGCGCGCUCACAUCCUCCCGCCAGCCUGCCCGCCAGCUCGCCGGCGCCCGGAGCCCGCUCUGGCCGGAGUGAGACAGAGAACUACACCGCUGAUGACUCCGAGCAAGGGGCCCUGGACAUGUGCUGCAGCGAGAGGCUGCCGGGUGAGUCUUCCCAGCAGCCGGUGGGGCUGGAGAGGAACCUGGGUGGCUCUGAACUGACUCGAGAGGAGUGACUCAGUGGGUCCGUAGGUCUUUGUUUAAAUGAGGGUUUGUUUUUCUCAUCCUUGAUGUCUCUCUGACCUGUUAUCAUUCGGAGCAGCUCUAAGCUCAGCUGGAGGGAAGAGCAGGCAGCUGAGGGUGUGUGGGGAGGGUGGAGAGAAGGGUAAAGAACUGGGGGCUCCAGGCCUCCCCAGGGACAUGAUCCCUGGCCGGUGGUGUAUCGGGCCGACUUGGCAAAGUAAGCUUAGGAGACAGCCUGACCGUGGCAGGAGCCAGCAGUCAGGUGGACACCAUGGAAAAACUCCCUGACAGCCCCGUGGAGAAGCCUGGCUGGGAAUGUCAGAUAGUGCCGCUUGAGUCCCAUUGACCACACUUGUGGGGAGCCUGGUGUCUGAACCACGGGCCAUUGCAGUCACCAUAGAAACAUUCCCCAGGCACUCCUGCCUGUGGGGUGGCAGCACAUCCCAGUUGAAGACCAAAUACCGUGAUAAACCGCUUUGGAAGGAAUGAAGGAAGGAGGGGUUUUUUUCCCCCUCCUUAUAGCAAAUAUCCAUUGUAAAAAGACUGGAAAAUAAAGACAAGUG